CCUGCAAGUAUGUAUUAUUUUGUAAAUUCAAAGAAAUUCUUUUCAACUUUAAUUUUUGCAAAAACUGCAUUUUAUUCUAUUUCAAGCAUAAAAAUACCCCAAAAAACUGAAAAAUGAUUGCUCUUCUGUCCAACAUGCUGUAUAUCUAAACCUAAUUGAUCUGCAUCUUUUCAUGAAAGCUGACAGAAGGCAUACUUGCUGAAAAAACAAAAACAACAACAGUAUCUUCUUGUAGUUAUUAUAUUGCAUAACAUGUUCUGAGUCUUCUUUCAUUAAGUGGCCUGAAAAUUCAUUCAUAAAACCGGUAGUAGGCAUAUAUUAUGAUUUAGUCGAA
This 334-nucleotide long non-coding RNA is filed under the name Mytilus galloprovincialis (Mediterranean mussel). The record is from RNAcentral. Lineage: Eukaryota; Metazoa; Mollusca; Bivalvia; Mytilida; Mytilidae.